AAGUCGUAACAAGGUUUCCGUAGGUGAACCUGCGGAAGGAUCAUUACAAAUAAAGCUGGUAGGAAGUGGGGUCUUGAUCUGUAAGUGGUAGGAGCAGAAGCCAGGUCCUGGCCUCGGCCUACCGAAUGUUCUUACAUCCGUCCCCACAGCCUGAAGGGCCGAAUUACAACCCUUGAUUAUCUACACUUGUUGCUUUGGGGGUGCUCAAGUGCCCCAGAGGACCCAACUCUCUUGCAUUUAGUGACGUCUGAGUACUAUAUAAUAUUUAAAA
RNAcentral lists this unclassified non-coding RNA (271 nucleotides) under plant metagenome. RNAcentral's name for it is "partial contains small subunit ribosomal RNA and internal transcribed spacer 1". The stretch from base 1 to 46 matches the Rfam family "Eukaryotic small subunit ribosomal RNA", at positions 1786 to 1831 of the family's 1831-position model. The record is from RNAcentral.